UUCUUGUUUUAGUGUUUAACACAUAUAUUUAAUUUUAAAAACGAGGAAUAAAAUAAGUAUAAAUAUAUCUACUUGUGCUGAUUUGGUGUAGUAAACAUAGUCACCUUGAGAAGGCUUAUAUGUUAAGCAGAUGCAUUAAGUAGCUUAGUGAUAUGUAUAAGUAUAUUUCAUUUUAAUUCAAAUACAUCCAUUUGGAGUGUUUCAUCCCAUCCUAUAAUGUUCAAAGCGAACAUAG
This 235-nucleotide long non-coding RNA is filed under the name Lathyrus oleraceus (garden pea). Its description in RNAcentral is "Pisum sativum (pea) long non-coding RNA (PSAT_LNC005642)". The record is from RNAcentral. Lineage: Eukaryota; Viridiplantae; Streptophyta; Magnoliopsida; Fabales; Fabaceae.